AGCAGUCGCCGCGGGAAUACGUAUGUCACAAGCGUUAUCCGGAUUUAUUGGGCGUAAAGCGCGUCUAGGCGGUUAAUUAAGUCUGAUGUGAAAAUGCGGAGCUCAACUCCGUAUUGCGUUGGAAACUGGUUAACUAGAGUACUGGAGAGGUAAGCGGAACUACAAGUGUAGAGGUGAAAUUCGUAGAUAUUUGUAGGAAUGCCGAUGGGGAAGCCAGCUUACCGGACAGAUACUGACGCUAAAGCGCGAAAGCGUGGGUAGCAAACAGGAUUAGAUACCCCCGUAGUCCCUGUCUCUUAUACA
This 303-nucleotide ribosomal RNA is filed under the name uncultured bacterium. RNAcentral's name for it is "partial 16S ribosomal RNA". It matches the Rfam family "Bacterial small subunit ribosomal RNA", at positions 507 to 808 of the family's 1533-position model. The record is from RNAcentral.